CCGCAGACACACUGAAGUCGCUAGACGUCGUGAGGAACACAUCCGGGGAAGAAGACACAGGUGGCUGGUCAUCGAGAGCCCGCUGGGGGAAGAGCACACAGACAGGCACCGGCAGGCCAUUGACCAGCGGGACAAGGGGUGCUCAAUGUCAUCACAAGGGUCCUUAAGAGGGAAAGAGGAAGCCAUGAGGGUCAGAGUCAAAGGAAGACUUGAAGAUACUACACUGAGGACUUUAAAGAUGAAGGAAGGGGCGAAAACCAAGAAUGUGGGAAGCCUCUAGAAGCUAGAGAAGGCAAGGAAACAGAUUUUCCACUAGAGCCUCCAGAAGGAACACAGCCCUGCUGACCCACUGUAAUGUCUGACCUCUAGAUGUGUAAGGGUAGUAAGACUGAAAGUCUCAGAAAGGCACUGUUACAUUCUUAUUCCACAACCAUGCAACUCAAAACUGGGGUCCUCAGCAAUGAGCGAGGGGCGAGAGAAGGCACUGUAUAAACAUGGCACAUCCUCCUGGAAAGUCAACUUUACUCAAAGGUUCUUACACACAGUGACAGCUAGCAGAGUCUAAAGUGCUGACAUUAUGACUUAGAGAUGUGAUAAAGAGAAACAUCUAUUGCAUUUUCUGUCUGGUUCCAGUGUCAUCUAUGGUGUGAUUCAUCUCCCAAUACCCCUGGGUGCAAUAAAACUGGUCCCUUCUUUGUACCCCAUAGCUCUUUGUUCCUCUCCUGGUACAUGAUAGCUGUUUCAGCAUCUUUUCACCCCUCCACACCAGGAACUCCUCAGUGAGUUCUGGAGAUCUAUGCCCUAUUCACCUUUCUGGAAAAUUUGAUACCUGUCUUCAAGGAGUUUCCAGUCUGGGCAAGGAAGCAGACAUAUAAACAUGGAAUUACAUUGCAAUUUGGAAAGUGAUGUAAAACAAUUAUCUAAAUUAGUGUACACAGAUGAGCACUAAUUUACUAGAGAAUCCUGCUUUUCUCAUAUAACAACUGAACAGUCGGCAUGUAGGUGUAGUCUGUUUCUUAAAAUAGCAAUGUUUUCCCAGUCUUCAUAUCAAUAUUUAUGUUGUUACUCAUGCUCUGUUAAAACAAAACAAAAUAAAACAAAAUCUCUCAAA
Molecule: long non-coding RNA, 1111 nt
Filed under: Pongo abelii (Sumatran orangutan)
Lineage: Eukaryota; Metazoa; Chordata; Mammalia; Primates; Hominidae
Description: lincRNA
Source: RNAcentral